Molecule: ribosomal RNA, 582 nt
Filed under: uncultured Planctomycetota bacterium
Lineage: Bacteria; Pseudomonadati; Planctomycetota
Description: bacterial SSU rRNA
Rfam family: Bacterial small subunit ribosomal RNA
Source: RNAcentral
AGAGUUUGAUCCUGGCUCAGAUGAACGUUGGGAGAAGAAGGAGAGUGCAAGUCGAACGAAUCCCCUCUGGGUAACAGGGGGGGGGGAAGUGGCGAAAGGGGCAGUAAUGCAUGGGUAACUUGCCCCGGAGUUCGGGAUAGCCUUCCUAACGGAUGGGUAAUACCGAAUGCCGUACCCUGGGGGCAUCCUCGGGGUACGAAAGUUCCGACGCUCCGGGAGGGGUCCAUGUGGUAUUAGCUAGUUGGUGGGGUAACGGCCCACCAAGGCCAAGAUGCCUAGCAGGUGUGAGAGCACGACCUGCGUCACUGGCACUGGGACACUGGCCAGACUCCUACGGGAGGCUGCAGUCGAGGAUCUUCGGCAAUGGGCGAAAGCCUGAUUUAGCGACGCCGCGUGUGCGAUGAAGGCCUUCUGGUUGUAAAGCACUGUCCAGGGGGAGAAAAGCCCGCAAGGGUUUGAUCGACCUCUGGAGGAAGCUCGGGCUAAGUUCGUGCCAGCAGCCGCGGUAAGACGAACCGAGCGAACGUUAUUCGGAAUCACUGGGCUUAAAGGGUGCGUAGGCGGGCACGCGAGUCAGGGGUG